AGGUGAGCCCUUACUCUGCCUACCUUCACAACGCCAUCCUGCUCUAUGCUGAGACCGUGAAGCAGGUGGUAAAGGCUGGAGGCGACUUCCAGGACGGGUGGCAGCUGGUCAGCGCUCUGAAGGGUUCCAGUCAGACCACAGUGCAGGACCCACAGGGAAUUUCUCCAAUAUGACCUGGCCCCAUGGCUCCCUUCCUGAAGACAGACCUGGCUGUGGAUUUUAUAAUGAGCUCUGUGAAACUCAGUCUGCUUUUACGGGCGUGACUGCUGUGCUUCUCACAUUGAUGAUCCUCAUUCCUGUCUUGGGAGCUGCCAUCAUAGGUCUGAUUUUAAGGAUGCAGAGGCAAAACAAAGACGUCUGGUGGCAAAUCAAUUUUGAUGAUAUCACCAUUCUUCCCCAGAACAAGGGACUUGACCAUUAACCACAGGCCAAGCAUCAUACAAGCCAUCCCAGAGAGGCACACCUGUGUC
RNAcentral lists this small RNA (470 nucleotides) under Pan troglodytes (chimpanzee). RNAcentral's name for it is "processed transcript". Lineage: Eukaryota; Metazoa; Chordata; Mammalia; Primates; Hominidae. The record is from RNAcentral.